AGACUCCUCUUUAUUUUUCUGCAUUCCCAUCAGCCAAAAAAACGCCCUAAGGGUUUCUUCAAGCUGGUUUUUCAUAAUUUUUGCACCAAAUCCAGAAAAUUCAAAUACGAAGCAAGAUCGAGGAAAAGAAAAAGUUCGGGAUUAGUAGAUUUUUGGUUACGAACAAGUGUCGAGAGUUAAGAGCUCGGAGGUCGGAUUUGGUCGGAGACACAUCACACUAUCAAUCUCGAGAUCUCAGUAGAUAAAGGGACUUUAUUUUGGAAAUCAAUGGCAUGUAUAAGCUAGUAAAUUAGAUGUUAAUGUGAAAUGAAUGUAUGGUUAGCCAUUGGUAUGGCUAACAAAUUUUGGUUU
Long non-coding RNA from Gossypium raimondii (Peruvian cotton), 351 nucleotides. RefSeq lists it as uncharacterized. Lineage: Eukaryota; Viridiplantae; Streptophyta; Magnoliopsida; Malvales; Malvaceae. The record is from RefSeq and is a predicted model, not a curated record. The transcript is spliced from 3 exons.